GUUUCAAUUACAGGGCAAAAUCUCCACUGGCAGGCAGCCACUUUGAAUAUUUAUUGUUAUCAUAGUGAGCCCUCUGCCAAUGGAGAUUUGCCCGGCAAUUCCACU
Molecule: microRNA precursor, 105 nt
Filed under: Corchorus capsularis
Lineage: Eukaryota; Viridiplantae; Streptophyta; Magnoliopsida; Malvales; Malvaceae
Description: pre miRNA mir-399
Rfam family: mir-399 microRNA precursor family
About the family: mir-399 was identified in both Arabidopsis thaliana and Oryza sativa computationally and was later experimentally verified. mir-399 is thought to target mRNAs coding for a phosphatase transporter.
Source: Rfam by way of RNAcentral